GAACGCACCUUGCGCUCCUUGGUAUUCCGAGGAGCAUGCCUGUUUGAGUGUCAUUAAAUUCUCAACCCCUCCAGCUUUUGCGAGUUGUGAUGGGGCUUGGAUAUGGGAGUUUGCGGGUCCUUUAUCAGUAAAGGUCGGCUCUCCUGAAAUACAUUAGCGGAACCGUUUGCAGUCCCGUCACUAGUGUGAUAAUUAUCUACACUGUGAUGAUUGCUCUCUGACUAGUUCAGCUGCUAAUCGUCCGGUAUGGACAACAUUUAAUGAACUUCUUGACCUCAAAUCAGGUAGGACUACCCGCUGAACUUAAG
This 308-nucleotide unclassified non-coding RNA is filed under the name Vascellum pratense. Its description in RNAcentral is "sequence contains 5.8S rRNA gene". The stretch from base 1 to 53 matches the Rfam family "5.8S ribosomal RNA", at positions 102 to 154 of the family's 154-position model. The record is from RNAcentral. Lineage: Eukaryota; Fungi; Basidiomycota; Agaricomycetes; Agaricales; Lycoperdaceae.